CCUACGGGAGACAGCAGUGGGGAAUAUUGGGCAAUGGGCGCAAGCCUGACCCAGCAACGCCGCGUGAAGGAAGAAGGCUUUCGGGUUGUAAACUUCUUUUGUCGGGGAACAAAGGCGGAGACGCGUCUCCGGAUGAGUGUUCCCGAAGAAAAAGCAUCGGCUAACUCCGUGCCAGCAGCCGCGGUAAUACGGGGGAUGCGAGCGUUAUCCGGAUUUAGUGGGUUUAAAGGGUGCGCAGGCGGGAGAUAAAGUCAGCGGUAAAAUGUCGGGGCGCAACCCCGGCCGGCCGUUGAAACUGGUUGUCUAGAGUUGGAGAGAAGUAUGCGGAAUGCGUGGUGUAGCGGUGAAAUGCAUAGAUAUCACGAAGAACACCGAUUGCGAAGGCAGCAUACCGGCUCCAUACUGACGCUGAGGCACGAAAGCGUGGGGAUCGAACAGGAUUAGAUACCCGGGUAGUC
This 458-nucleotide ribosomal RNA is filed under the name uncultured bacterium. RNAcentral describes it as "partial 16S ribosomal RNA". It matches the Rfam family "Bacterial small subunit ribosomal RNA", at positions 338 to 795 of the family's 1533-position model. The record is from RNAcentral.